GUAGAUAUGAUGGAAUUGGAAGACAUAUUAAAUUUAGGUUUUAACGGGAUUUUACCGUGAGGGUUCGAGUCCCUCUAUCUACA
Molecule: transfer RNA, 83 nt
Filed under: Sheathia arcuata
Lineage: Eukaryota; Rhodophyta; Florideophyceae; Batrachospermales; Batrachospermaceae
Description: tRNA-Leu
Rfam family: tRNA
About the family: Transfer RNA (tRNA) molecules are approximately 80 nucleotides in length. Their secondary structure includes four short double-helical elements and three loops (D, anti-codon, and T loops).
Source: RNAcentral